This 798-nucleotide ribosomal RNA is filed under the name uncultured Bacteroidota bacterium. Its description in RNAcentral is "bacterial SSU rRNA". It matches the Rfam family "Bacterial small subunit ribosomal RNA", at positions 1 to 799 of the family's 1533-position model. The record is from RNAcentral. Lineage: Bacteria; Pseudomonadati; Bacteroidota.
AGGAGAGUUUGAUCCUGGCUCAGGAUGAACGCUAGCGGCAGGCUUAACACAUGCAAGUCGCGGGGCAGCGCGGGUAGCAAUACCUGGCGGCGACCGGCGGAAGGGUGCGUAACGCGUGAGCAACAUGCCCGUAUCAGGGGGAUAACCGAUGGAAACGUCGCCUAAUACCCCAUAACAACGAGGGCCGCAUGGCCCAUGUUUGAAAGUUACGGCGGAUACGGAUUGGCUCGCGUGACAUUAGCUAGUUGGCGGGGUAACGGCCCACCAAGGCGACGAUGUCUAGGGGUUCUGAGAGGAAGGUCCCCCACACUGGAACUGAGACACGGUCCAGACUCCUACGGGAGGCAGCAGUGAGGAAUAUUGGUCAAUGGGCGCAAGCCUGAACCAGCCAUGCCGCGUGCAGGAAUGAGGCCCUAUGGGUCGUAAACUGCUUUUGCUGCGGAGCAAUAAGUGCUACGUGUAACACGAUGAGAGUACGCAGCGAAUAAGCAUCGGCUAACUCCGUGCCAGCAGCCGCGGUAAUACGGAGGAUGCGAGCGUUAUCCGGAUUUAUUGGGUUUAAAGGGUGCGUAGGCUGUUCGUCAAGUCAGUGGUGAAAUGCCGGGGCUCAACCCCGGAGCUGCCAUUGAUACUGUCGGGCUUGAAUCCUGCUGCCGUGGGAGGAAUGAGUAGUGUAGCGGUGAAAUGCAUAGAUAUUACUCAGAACACCGAUUGCGAAGGCAUCUCACGAAACAGGCAUUGACGCUGAGGCACGAAAGCGUGGGGAUCAAACAGGAUUAGAUACCCUGGUAGUCCCCU